This 297-nucleotide unclassified non-coding RNA is filed under the name Hevea brasiliensis (rubber tree). Lineage: Eukaryota; Viridiplantae; Streptophyta; Magnoliopsida; Malpighiales; Euphorbiaceae. The record is from RNAcentral.
GUUUUCAAAAAGGUGCUUGUAACAUCACUCUAGCAACAAAAGAUUCUGUAGUACCAACUUUUAGAAAGAUACUUUAAAACUCUUUAUAGGAACAAAAGACUUCUACAAUCAUCUUAUGAAAAAUUGUAAAAACACUGAUGUACACUGGUUACUUGAAAAGGGGUUGAAAUUAUCAUUUCAAGAACCAACAUUGUAAUGUUAAAUCAGAACAGAAGAAAUUAGAUUCACAACACACAAGAAAAGUCACUGACAAUAAUAAUUCCAAAAAUCAUUGAAAUCCACCAAUGCCCUAAGAAU